AUUGUAGGUGCCCUCGGGCCCGCUGACACAAUAACCCUUGUCUUUUUUUGUGCACCCUUCGUUUCCUCGGCAGCUCUGCCUGCCAACGAGGACCCCCCAAAAACCUUUUGCAAUCCCAGUAUAACAAUCAGAAAACAAACAAUAUUAA
Molecule: unclassified non-coding RNA, 148 nt
Filed under: Lophiostoma macrostomum
Lineage: Eukaryota; Fungi; Ascomycota; Dothideomycetes; Pleosporales; Lophiostomataceae
Description: ITS1
Source: RNAcentral